This 449-nucleotide ribosomal RNA is filed under the name uncultured bacterium. RNAcentral's name for it is "partial 16S ribosomal RNA". It matches the Rfam family "Bacterial small subunit ribosomal RNA", at positions 354 to 796 of the family's 1533-position model. The record is from RNAcentral.
GUCGAGAAUCUUUCACAAUGGGGGCAACCCUGAUGGAGCGACGCCGCGUGGAGGAUAAGGUCUUCGGAUUGUAAACUCCUGUCAUGCGUGAACAAGGUUGCUUGGUUAAUACCUGGGCAAAUUGAUGGUAACGCAAGAGGAAGAGACGGCUAACUCUGUGCCAGCAGCCGCGGUAAUACAGAGGUCUCAAGCGUUGUUCGGAAUCACUGGGCGUAAAGGGUGCGUAGGUGGCGUGGUAAGUCAGAUGUGAAAGCCCGGGGCUCAACCUCGGAACUGCAUCCGAUACUGCCAUGCUAGAGUACUGGAGAGGUGACUAGAAUCCUCGGUGUAGCAGUGAAAUGCGUAGAUAUCGAGAGGAAUACCAAAGGCGUAGGCAGGUCACUGGACAGUUACUGACACUGAGGCACGAAGGCCAGGGGAGCGAACGGGAUUAGAAACCCUUGUAGUCC